GUUAUGAACUUCCUCAGGGACCGCAAUAAAAUAAUCACAUGUAUAAAUACAAAGUAUAAAAUAUACUUUGUAUUUAUACAUGUGAUUAUUUUAUUGCGGUCCCUGAGUAAGUUCAUA
Molecule: microRNA precursor, 117 nt
Filed under: Pelobates cultripes (western spadefoot toad)
Lineage: Eukaryota; Metazoa; Chordata; Amphibia; Anura; Pelobatidae
Source: RNAcentral